This 492-nucleotide ribosomal RNA is filed under the name uncultured bacterium. RNAcentral describes it as "partial 16S ribosomal RNA". It matches the Rfam family "Bacterial small subunit ribosomal RNA", at positions 29 to 507 of the family's 1533-position model. The record is from RNAcentral.
AGUGAACGCUGGCGGUAGGCCUAACACAUGCAAGUCGAACGGCAGCACAGUAAGAGCUUGCUCUUACGGGUGGCGAGUGGCGGACGGGUGAGGAAUACAUCGGAAUCUACUUUUUCGUGGGGGUUAACGUAGGGAAACUUACGCUAAUACCGCAUACGACCUACGGGUGAAAGCAGGGGAUCUUCGGUCCUUGCGCGAUUGAAUGAGCCGAUGUCGGAUUAGCUAGUUGGCGGGGUAAAGGCCCACCAAGGCGACGAUCCGUAGCUGGUCUGAGAGGAUGAUCAGCCACACUGGAACUGCGACACGGUCCAGACUCCUACGGGAGGCAGCAGUGGGGAAUAUUGGACAAUGGGCGCAAGCCUGAUCCAGCCAUACCGCGUGAGUGAAGAAGGCCUUCGUGUUGUAAAGCCCUUUUGUUGGGAAAGAAACGCAGCAGGUUAAUACCCCGCUGUUCUGACGGUACCCAAAGAAUAAGCACCGGCUAACUUCGUG